UUCAGCAGCAACUUUUCCUUGCUCCUUAGUUGUAGUUCCCUUUAUAUUUUUUCUUGUCUCCUCCGUUCCCGCCGUUUAUCUCCCGUCACACCUUUUAUUUUCCUUCCCGGCCCACUCGUGCUCCUCCACCUCUUCCCCCCGCUCGGGCUUGCCGUGUCAUAUUUACAAUUUCCGUGUAGCUGCCCUGAGCAGGGAGGGCAAGGCAGGCUGGCUGGGCAUGGCCCGAGCCACGAGAUGGAACUGUUUAUGUUUUUCCUCCAGCCUCCUUCUCUCUUAAAAUCGUGGAUAAAAGCUUCAUGCGUUUCUGUUAAACACAAGAUCGAAGAAGACGGUUUCAUAGGUUGGCCGGGAACAGAGAUUCGGGGAGAAAAGUGAAGAACUUCUGCCUUUCCCCGUGGAGAAUCCUUUAAAAAUUCUUACAAAAAAAAAAAAAGGAAGGAAGAAGACGCGAACUCUGCCGUUUGCGCGGCUCUGCAGCGCUGGUCCCCGGAGGCGAUGUGGAAAGCCCAGACCCGAGAACGGCGGCCGGGCGCGGUGCGGUGCGACGCCCGCGCCCCCAGCUGCACACCGGCGUACGGCACCCCGUAGCCUGCUCCUUUCAAAGAGCAGGUUCCGCUUAGGCUACACGGUGAGUUUCCUUUAGUCUGUGCGCGAAACUGUACCCGCUCCCGAGCGUGUCCACCCCAAACCCUUCUGAAUCCCCCCCCCCCCAUCUUAAACGUCCCCUUUGAGUUUGUUUAAAUCCUAUUUUUGUGUUCUGUUCCAUAUGGGCUGUUACACCGCCCUCAUCAACGUAGUGUAUUAGUGCCCUCCAAUCACUACUCAUCAGGAAAAUAUACUUUUUACAAAGUCCUAUUUUUUAAAAGGCAACCGGCGAGACUAGAGUUUGAGUGAAAGAGAAGCAAAGCCAUAUUCACGCGGAAUAUCUUCCCGCGGGUGUCCUGGUUUCGGCUGGGAUAGAGUUAAUUUUCUUUCUAGUAGCUGGUAUAGUGUUAUGUCUUGGAUUUAG
Molecule: long non-coding RNA, 1009 nt
Organism: Aquila chrysaetos chrysaetos
Lineage: Eukaryota; Metazoa; Chordata; Aves; Accipitriformes; Accipitridae
Exons: 3
Source: RefSeq, a predicted model, not a curated record